RNAcentral lists this transfer-messenger RNA (406 nucleotides) under Anaerolineales. RNAcentral describes it as "VGOW01 sp016197225 Standard tmRNA". It matches the Rfam family "transfer-messenger RNA". From Rfam's summary of the family: Bacterial tmRNA, also known as 10Sa RNA or SsrA, is named for its dual tRNA and mRNA-like properties. RNAcentral also lists the same sequence under 1 other name. Lineage: Bacteria; Bacillati; Chloroflexota; Anaerolineae. The record is from RNAcentral.
GGGGAUGACAGGCUUCGACGGAUGAGGCUGGCAUCGGAUUGCAAGCCGGGAGGCUCCGACCCCGUAAAAUCAGAGCACAAGCUUAAGUGCCAACCGCACCAAUGCUUACGCGGCUCUCCCGCUCGCGGCCUAAUCUCCGCAAGUUAAGAGCCUGACCCUGUAAACCAGGGUCCGUCUGCCCCGAGCGCCUCCGACCGCGCGGGCCCCAGGCGACACAAAAGCCGGAGUGCCACCGGGUAAUUUCUCUAGCCUGGUGAAAGAGGGGUCUUUGGACUCCAGAGGAGCGGCGGUUGCCCAACCCUGUCUGCCGGGGAGCAACUGCUAAGGCUAAAAUAGGCGGGCUAAGCUUGUAGAUAUCUGCUGUCGAGUCAUUCGGACGCGGGUUCGACUCCCGCCAUCUCCACCA